This 72-nucleotide transfer RNA is filed under the name Bos taurus (domestic cattle). It matches the Rfam family "tRNA". Rfam says of the family: Transfer RNA (tRNA) molecules are approximately 80 nucleotides in length. Lineage: Eukaryota; Metazoa; Chordata; Mammalia; Artiodactyla; Bovidae. The record is from Rfam by way of RNAcentral. RNAcentral also lists the same sequence under 1 other name.
UCCCUGGUGGCUCAGAUGGUAAAGCGUCUGCCUGCAAUGCGGAAAACCUGGGUUCAAUCCCUGGUUCAAGAA